AACGAACGCUGGCGGCAUGCCUAACACAUGCAAGUCGAACGAGACCUUCGGGUCUAGUGGCGCACGGGUGCGUAACACGUGGGAAUUUGCCUCGGGGUAUGGAAUAACUCAGGGAAACUUGAGCUAAUACCAUAUAAUGUCUUCGGACCAAAGAUUUAUCGCCCUGAGAUAAGCCCGCGUAGGAUUAGCUAGUUGGUGGGGUAAAGGCUCACCAAGGCGACGAUCCUUAGCUGGUCUGAGAGGAUGAUCAGCCACACUGGGACUGAGACACGGCCCAGACUCCUACGGAGGCAGCAGUGGGGAAUAUUGGACAAUGGGCGAAAGACCUGAUCCAGCAAUGCCGCGUGAGUGAUGAAGGCCUCGGUUG
RNAcentral lists this ribosomal RNA (367 nucleotides) under uncultured bacterium. RNAcentral's name for it is "bacterial SSU rRNA". It matches the Rfam family "Bacterial small subunit ribosomal RNA", at positions 29 to 425 of the family's 1533-position model. The record is from RNAcentral.